CGGGGGGUUGGCAGCGCUGGAUCUAGGGGGGUUAGUUCAAGCCCCCCCUCUACCUCCCCCCCGGCGUGUCUGGCAAGGGCCCUGAUGCAAACGAGGAGUCAACAAGCCAGGGAGGCCAGAGGCAGGGAAGCUGCAAGCCAAACCUCUGUGCGCAGAGGGUAACGGACACAUGGAAAGCAUUACCAGCCCGGCCCCGAGCAGCCGGGCCUCAGACAUGGACGGCGGGAGGAACGGGGCGCAGAAAUGCAGAGGCUUCCCCGAGCAUCUUCAGUGCAAGGAAGCCCCGAGGACCGUGGGUUGCAGCCGAGCCCCAGACUCGGCAGAGCCGGCAGCCCGCUCGCUGGGUUUGUGCCUCCCGGAGCUGCGACCAGCCGUUUCUGGACGUAACAUGUGUGCUGUUAGAUGUAAGUCACCCGAGCAGCUCAGCUGGUGAAUCAGCAGCCAUCCUGGUCCAGGGACAGUACAUGUUCGAAGAGGUCCCGUAUCCCGAACCAGUGCAAUA
Molecule: long non-coding RNA, 502 nt
Filed under: Crocodylus porosus (Australian saltwater crocodile)
Lineage: Eukaryota; Metazoa; Chordata; Crocodylia; Crocodylidae
Description: lncRNA (ENSCPRG00005017387.1)
Source: RNAcentral